ACAAAUUAAUACAGUUUAAUUCACUUGGGAAACAAAGGGCCUUGUUCUUGAAAAAUCACAUCACUUUCUUUUUUAUAGGAUAAUGUCUCUGAAAACUAUAUAUUGUUUAUAUUACGAGACUCUUCAUUAUUUAUGUCUCGUUAUGACAUAAAUAUAAAUAUGAUGUUCCAAAAAUAUAGAAAAAUCUUUGAGAAUAUUAAACACACAAUAUGUCGGAUGAUUCUUACUGAAGGAUAUAUGGGAAAUCACAUUUCUGCACCUAAUGGUACAUAAAUCAGCACUGAAGGAUAUCUCUCUAGGAGUGAAGAACUUCAUAAAACCAAACAAACAUAGUAUGACAUAUUUUUUAUGCCUUUGGAAGAAUGGCUUACACAGUACACACACAAAUAUAGUAUAUAUUCCUUCAAUAUCUGCAUGCAUGUAACUAACAGUCCGGGCACAUCAAGAGAAAGUGAAAACUGAGGAAAAAAAUAUUCAGAGUUGCUGCCAUUAGUCUUUAUAUACAUCAAUCUUGCACAAUAAAAGAAAAGAGAGAUUUGAAAAUGAAGACAAGGGAACCCUGUAAUGGUGGAUGCUGCUAUUGCUUACUUGUUGGAUUCAGGAUUGGGCCCACUAGGCACUUCAUGAACAUCUGCUUCAAACCGUCCAUCUGUAGCACCAUUUUUUCCGGGGCUUUGAGCUGCUGGGAUCGACGUGGAAGAAGUCGAGAAUGGGUGCAAAUUUCUCGUAGUAGAGGAAGAGGAAUAGAUGGGACGAGCAAAGAGAGGAGAAAUGAGGAGGAGGAGAACGAAAAGCCGUAGUAGGGCAUAUGAUUGUGAAGACAAUAUUAUGGAAGUUGAGUUUUCAGAGAUUGAUUUGUGAGGCAUCGCCAUGAAAUGAAAUUGUAGUGAGAAAUUGGAAACCACCCUGACCCCCCAGUAGUAACCCAGAAGGGAUCAAUAUCCAUGAACCAGUCGGACCACAACCAAGUCUGGGUUUUUUUUUCCGUAAAAGAAGAAAAAAAACAAGAAGUUAUGAUGGAAUUAACGGUGGAGUUUGUGAAAGUUGAAAAAUAAAGUUUUGAUGCAUUCCAUGAACUUAUGUUAACGAGGUUUUCAAGUUAAA
RNAcentral lists this long non-coding RNA (1104 nucleotides) under Gossypium raimondii (Peruvian cotton). RNAcentral's name for it is "long non-coding RNA (GRAI_LNC009214)". Lineage: Eukaryota; Viridiplantae; Streptophyta; Magnoliopsida; Malvales; Malvaceae. The record is from RNAcentral.